CAAUAGCGUAUAUUAAAGUUGUUGCGGUUAAAAGCUCGUAGUUGGAUUUCUGCCGAGGACGACCGGUCCGCCCUCUGGGUGAGCAUCUGGCUCGGCCUGGGCAUCUUCUUGGAGAACGUAUCUGCACUUGACUGUGUGGUGCGGUAUUCAGGACUUUUACUUUGAGGAAAUUAGAGUGUUUCAAGCAGGCAUGCGCCUUGAAUACAUUAGCAUGGAAUAAUAAGAUAGGACCUCGGUUCUAUUUUGUUGGUUUCUAGAGCUGAGGUAAUGAUUAAUAGGGAUAGUUGGGGGCAUUCGUAUUUAACUGUCAGAGGUGAAAUUCUUGGAUUUACGGAAGAUAAACUACUGCGAAAGCAUUCGCCAAGGAUGUUUUCAUUAAUCAAGAACGAAAGUUAGGGGAUCGAAGAUGAUUAGAUACCAU
RNAcentral lists this ribosomal RNA (421 nucleotides) under uncultured eukaryote. Its description in RNAcentral is "SSU rRNA". It matches the Rfam family "Eukaryotic small subunit ribosomal RNA", at positions 592 to 1018 of the family's 1831-position model. The record is from RNAcentral.